This 450-nucleotide ribosomal RNA is filed under the name uncultured bacterium. RNAcentral describes it as "partial 16S ribosomal RNA". It matches the Rfam family "Bacterial small subunit ribosomal RNA", at positions 338 to 795 of the family's 1533-position model. The record is from RNAcentral.
CCUACGGGAGGCUGCAGUAGGGAAUAUUGGACAAUGGGCGCAAGCCUGAUCCAGCCAUCCCGCGUGAAGGAUUAAGGCCCUAUGGGUUGUAAACUUCUUUUCUCUGGGAAUAAAAAGUGGGAUUCUUCCCGCCUUGAAGGUACCAGAGGAAUAAGCACCUGCUAACUCCGUGCCAGCAGCCGCGGUAAUACGGAGGGUGCAAGCGUUAUCCGGAUUCACGGGUGCUAAAGUGUGCGUAGGUGUCAGUAGAGAAAUGCCGCAGCUCAACGGCGGAACUGCCAUUGAUACUGUUUAGCUUGAAUCACGUCGAGGUGGAUGGAAUAUUACAUGUAGCGGUGAAAUGCUUAGAUAUGUAAUAGAACACCGAUUGCGAAGGCAGUUCACUAGGCGUGCAUUGACACUGAGGCACGAAAGCGUGGGGAUCAAACAGGAUUAGAUACCCCUGUAGUC